GCUUAUCGAGGAAAGUUGAUAUAUAAUCGGGCCUGAGGUUCUGUAAUGAACAUUAAAUUUUAAUACCGUUAUUGUGACACUAAUCAAACAUUAGAUAGGCUAAAGGAUCAACUUGUUUAUACAUAUGGUGAAAGAGGGUGUUUGGACAUGCACUUUGAAACUGAUUAUCUGAUGCUGAUUGCUGAAUAAUCCACUAUCAUAGUGGUUGGAUUUUCUUCAAACCUUUUGAAGCUGUGAAAAAAUAGUUGUACACUUGUACUAGUGUUUCACAAAUGAAGUAAUAGAUAAAACGACCAAAAUGGACCUUUUUAUAUGUUGUUGAAAUUGUUGACAUAACCUCUGUGGUGCUUUCC
This 353-nucleotide long non-coding RNA is filed under the name Helianthus annuus (common sunflower). RNAcentral describes it as "sRNA HanXRQr2_Chr08g0336011". The record is from RNAcentral. Lineage: Eukaryota; Viridiplantae; Streptophyta; Magnoliopsida; Asterales; Asteraceae.